Molecule: non-coding RNA, 45 nt
Filed under: Schistosoma mattheei
Lineage: Eukaryota; Metazoa; Platyhelminthes; Trematoda; Strigeidida; Schistosomatidae
Source: RNAcentral
AUCCGGCUGAUGAGUCUUAAAUAGGACGAAAUGUACAUCUUGGAU